Esox lucius (northern pike) is the source of this 2692-nucleotide long non-coding RNA. The record is from Ensembl. NCBI's taxonomy places the organism in Eukaryota, Metazoa, Chordata, Actinopteri, Esociformes, Esocidae.
AAAACUUUGAAUCUAGUCUCCUAAUGAAAAUAUGAAAGAUUUGUAUUUGUUUUCAAUGUUGGCCAAACUUUUUGAAAAGCAUUGUUUUAACAUUAUGUCUGUAACAUUUAGUGUUUGUAUGUUUAAAAUUUUUAAUUUCUAUUAAUACCAGUAGAACUGUAUGUGCUCUACUGUAUACUCCAACUCUAUCCAUCUUCCCAGCCUUUUAUGUAGAGCCACAAAAGAUGCUGUAACGACGUGAAUAUUCUACAAAUAUGUUCAGCUUUGUGAAGCAAGAUACUUUCCUAACCUAACAUUUUCUUCAGUUUUUCUAAGAACACUGUACUAUAAUUAUAAAUAGCUUUGUGGCAGGGUGAAUGGUUGGAUGAAAUGUGCAUGAGUAAUGUAUAAUAUACAAUGCUUUUCCCCCUACCUUUUUUAAGUAUGAGGCAAAUCUGCUCUUAACUGCCAAAAUGUCAAUUCAAGGCUGUAUCAACAUGAAAAUGAAGACGUACAAUAAUAGUUGGUUGAUCCUUGAGGGGUUCCCAGCUACGCUAUGAUGGCAAGGAGUGAAAAGGACUGUGUUGGCCAUUAUAGGGCCUUAAAAUCUUCCCCAUCAUAGUCUAUGUCCCUGAAGUUAGUCAAGGAAGAUGUGUAGUACCUCAGCCGUCCACAUAUCUGUAAAAAUGCAGUGGUCAGUAUACCUCUGCCAAAUUUGUACCAGUCAAGUAAAGCUCUAUAGAUAUGCUAUGAAAAGAGAAAAAACACAAUGGAGAGUGACUGUCUUUGUCAUGAGUUUUAAGUUUGAGAAACAAAAAAACUAGACACUUUAAAAGCCAGGAAAAUGUAUAAUGAUUAUAAUGCAAAGCCAUGAAGAGAACAAUAGAAAACACCCAUGUUCAAACUCUAACUGCAAAAAUAAAAAACCUUGGACAUGGCUUUAGAGUAGCCAUGGAAAAACUACAGUCAUCCACUACUCAAAAGAAAUGGUCACUGUUAGGAAGGGGUUUGAACCAAAAUCAUUUUCCAAUCAUUUCAGUUUUUUAAUUAAUUCCAUUCCACUAUUCAAACCACUAAAAUACAUUUGAGAACUGUUUCAACUUCCAAAAAUGUUCUGGUUUAUGUUUUUUUCUUGUCUUUUUUUAUCACAUUAAGCUUUGUAAAUCACUGAUCAAUGCAGAUAGAGCAGCAUGGUAUGAAAUGGCCAAGCUAGCUAGUUGUUUACAUGCUUGAUUGACAGCUAAGUGUAGGGUGCGAGAAACAUUUUAUGAGAAAGGAGUGGACAUGAAGGAAGCUCAGCUUAAAGUGUUGGACAUCAGGAUAUUACUUGCUAUUAUUUAAAUGAAUUACAGAAUUACUAGAACGCUACAGAGGAUUCAUUUACUGAUUUACAGAAUUAUUAGAACACUACAGGGGAGGGGCUACUGUGGAGGAGCCCUGAAUGACAUCUGUAGUAACUAUUUCUGUAUCAGAGUUGAGCUAGAUAACAAGCUCAUGUGGGCCCAUUUUCAUGUUUUCUCUUUUUGUGUUCUAUUACCUGAUCCAGUUCCAACCGCUGCUAGUAGGUAAUAACUCACAAUGAUGAAAUACAGUCAACCAACCAGGGUCAGGGACCAAAUAGUGAGUUUUUUUGUUACCUCAUGACUGAAAACAUUUGCUACACCUCAAACUGGAACUAGUAGGAAACCUGUCUAUGGCUGGCUUCAUGUGCUCAUGUGAAAAUGUAAACUGGAAGUGGUGGGUCUAACACGAAUUGGUAAUACUAAAGUUUGCUAACAACACUGACAAUUAUCAAAGUAGCUACAUUAUCCAUUUUGAUAACGGUCAGAAAUAGAUUUUUCUCUUCCUUUGGGGAAAAGGUAAAAGGGUAAUCACAUUUAUUCAGAGUUUCCCACUUGUAAAUUCACCUUGUCAUCCAAGUAAAAUGUUCCACUGGAAACUAGGACCUUCCGAUAACUCCGGGGCCAUACAGCAUAUUCCUGAGCUCUGACUUCCUCCACAUUUGACCUCUGAGUCUGACAACUACUUACUACAGAAAUGAUCUUAUUAAAAGGGUUUUCAUUUGUUAAAUGCGGCAAAGAAAAGAAUGUUUAUAAAAACAAUCUGUUAAUGUGGUUUCUGAAAUAACUUUUAUUCACGAGCAUGCUGGCUAUUCUUAAAUUAAGGUUAUCAACAUCAACGCAGAUGGUGGCAAUUAGCCAACCACUGUUUCCUAACGACUUCAAUCCAACUGGUAUUUACAACUUCAGAACUAGAAAUUUCACACUUUCACUUGGUUAGUCAGUUUUAAUUACUGUCUUCAUGAUGGGUCUUCAUGUCCUGUACAGCUCUGCAACAGGAAACUUUAACCAUAACCAUCUCGCAGUUCAACCACCACCUAUAGUGACCGACUGACCACACACUGCUCUUUCUUGACUUUUCCUCACUCUAAUACUAUACUGUAUUCCUUCCUGUCUCUCUUCUUGGGUGAUUUUUAAUAGUUUCUGUCUGCAGCUGUGUAGUAUAAAAUAGUCUUGUGACCUGUGCAUCCUCCCUAUCCUUUUCCGAAGUCAUAUCUAAUGUAGCAAUUAGUUUGACGUGAAAGUAUUAGUGCUUUUCUGAUAUUUGUGUGCAAUAUCUCCUCCGCCCUCAUAUGGGACAUUUGAUGUACUAAUAAUAAAAAGACAACCUACAAAAAUAGUCACAAUAAUAAAAUGUUGGGGAAAAUCUCGAA